RNAcentral lists this ribosomal RNA (915 nucleotides) under Triticum aestivum (bread wheat). RNAcentral's name for it is "partial small subunit ribosomal RNA". Lineage: Eukaryota; Viridiplantae; Streptophyta; Magnoliopsida; Poales; Poaceae. The record is from RNAcentral.
AUGCAUCGUGUGCGCGUCGUGCGUGCCUCACCUCCGUCUGCGGGUUGGAGAGAGGAGAUGGAGUGGCAAAGUAUCUCGCGAGCUUCCCUUUCUGUAUUCAAUCUCCAUCGAUCUACUAUAGCCGCCGCCUCCUCCUCGAUCCAUGUGGUCGCCCUUUGCCGCCGUCACCGGAGAGGCUCGCCUCCGCGGCCGCACGCCUUAGAUCCGGCGGGAGGAAAAGGAGGAAGAGCCCCGCACUGUCCUGUUCUCCGGCGGCGGCGACCUACGCGCGAGCGAUGGGAGGCGAGGAGGAGAAAGAGGCGAGGUGGUGGAGGAGCAGCCGAGGUCGACGACGGCGUCCUUGGACGAGCACACGCACGGAAGGGAGGGGGAGGGGUGCAGCCGCUCGUGCGGAUCGAGGGGAAGGAGAAAGGUGCUGAUGCUGCCGGCUACUUGGGGAAGGGGAUGCGGGCGACCUUGGGCGAGUUAAGAGACCUGAGGCGAGGCCGGCGGCGACCUAUGGAAGGAAGGGGACGCCGACGACCUUGGGAAGGAAGGGGAAGCCGGCGACCUUGGGAAGGAGGGAGAGGCCGGCGAAUUGGGGUAGGGGAUGCGGGUGACCUGGGGAAGGGCGGAUGGGAGCUGCUCAGGCCGUCGUUGCUGUCGGCAGCCGGCGGCCACCGCCCGUCGCUUGGAGGACGAGGGGAAUGGAGAAAGAGGAGUCGUAUCGGGAAGGAGUUUUGGGCGAUGGGACGAGGGGAACAGCAGCCGCACCAGGCGACAUGCCUCGCCUUGCCGCUUGGUGGCCGAGAUGAGGCCGCCCCAUGCUCUGUUCCGAUGGGCCUCCUCUGCUCGAUGGUUGCACUGGUUGAGUUUGGUACGGUUUCCUGUUGUCGGCUGCGUCGAGCCUUGGGUCUUGUCUCUCCUUCACAUUGA